This 325-nucleotide long non-coding RNA is filed under the name Coccomyxa subellipsoidea. RNAcentral describes it as "long non-coding RNA (CSUB_LNC000289)". Lineage: Eukaryota; Viridiplantae; Chlorophyta; Trebouxiophyceae; Coccomyxaceae. The record is from RNAcentral.
GCUCGACAUGAAUUCUCUCGGAAAUAGGCAAAUCGGCCAAAGGACUGUUCCACAGAAGCAAUGGAGUCUCUUGAAUCGAGCUGCCGGAGCGCUAGCAAGACUUGCGCUGUACGAGAGACUCACAGGUGCGAUAAACAGUGCUCCAUCUCGUUAUAUACAGAUGUCUGGGUGCUCCAGGACUUUGCAAGCAUAGCUACUGUAUUACCAAAAUGUUCUUCUGCAGGCACAUGGCGGCUGUGUGAGUACCUCUCUGCAACAGUGGGCCCUGAGGUGAAUCUGCAUAACGUGCAUGAGCAUGCUGCAAUGCUGCACCUGCGUCUGUUGA